This 248-nucleotide unclassified non-coding RNA is filed under the name uncultured Sordariales. RNAcentral describes it as "sequence contains 5.8S rRNA gene". The stretch from base 1 to 53 matches the Rfam family "5.8S ribosomal RNA", at positions 102 to 154 of the family's 154-position model. The record is from RNAcentral. Lineage: Eukaryota; Fungi; Ascomycota; Sordariomycetes; Sordariales.
GAACGCACAUUGCGCCCGCCAGUAUUCUGGCGGGCAUGCCUGUUCGAGCGUCAUUUCAACCAUCAAGCCCCCGGGCUUGCGUUGGGGCCCUGCGGCUGCCGCAGACCCCUAAAACCAGUGGCGGGCUCGCUGUCACACCGAGCGCAGUAGCAAUAUCUCGCUCUGGGCGUGGCGCGGGUGCUUGCCGUAAAACACACCACUUAACAAGGUUGACCUCGGAUCAGGUAGGAAUACCCGCUGAACUUAAG